GAUGAACGCUGGCGGCGUGCUUAACACAUGCAAGUCGAACGGAAAGGCCCAAGCUUGCUUGGGUGCUCGAGUGGCGAACGGGUGAGUAACACGUGGGUGAUCUGCCCUGCACUUUGGGAUAAGCCUGGGAAACUGGGUCUAAUACCGGAUAGGACCAUCGUUUAGUGUCGGUGGUGGAAAGUUUUUCGGUGUGGGAUGAGCUCGCGGCCUAUCAGCUUGUUGGUGGGGUAAUGGCCUACCAAGGCGUCGACGGGUAGCCGGCCUGAGAGGGUGUACGGCCACAUUGGGACUGAGAUACGGCCCAGACUCCUACGGGAGGCAGCAGUGGGGAAUAUUGCACAAUGGGCGCAAGCCUGAUGCAGUGACGCCGCGUGGGGGAUGACGGCCUUCGGGUUGUAAACUCCUUUCGCCAAGGACGAAGCGUUUUGUGACGGUACUUGGAGAAGAAGCACCGGCUAACUACGUG
Molecule: ribosomal RNA, 466 nt
Filed under: uncultured bacterium
Lineage: Bacteria
Description: partial 16S ribosomal RNA
Rfam family: Bacterial small subunit ribosomal RNA
Source: RNAcentral